AGAUGCUUCAAACCUGUUUCUGUUGUUCCUGAACUUUUCCGUGUCAUUUAAAGGAGCCGGAUGCAACGUCUCAUUUCCUGCAAUGUGCCGGGCUGCCUCCAACAGACACCGGCAGAGACCACAUGCACCGGCUAAAAAGAAUCCUUGAAGGCACCAUGGACAUUUACACUUUCAUGAAAUCCAGCUUAAAUGGUGUGCCACUACUGUCUCUGGAAGGAGAACUGGAGUUAAACGGGAGAGCAGAUCCACUUCAGAAUGAAGCCUUGGUCCAAAUGUGGCUGGAGAUCAAGAUGAAACCGCUGCUGAAAUCCAUAACUAAGCAUUUUCUUUCCUGCCUCAGUACCAAGAAUUUCAGCUGCUCCACUUACCAGACUGUGUAUGUAUUCAUUUCUUUUGUAAACCCUUUUUUUGUGCGACCAGCUCUUGAUUCUUGUCUUUGUGCAUCAUCUCCUCCACUCUUGCAGGAUAAAAGAGCUCAGUCAACAUUACUCAGAAAUUAAUCCAGCUCAGCAAAAAUGGAUCUACACAUUCUUCAUGUAUCCAUUCUUGUCAGGAGACGGAAUUUAUGGUUGUGCGGACUCAGAAGUAAGCAGUGAGGAGUGGCUGAUGAAGAAUUUUGGUGCUUUCAGAGCAAUGGCCAGAAUGAAGGACUUCUCUGCUCUAAACAUGGUCUUCAGUGGAGUGGAAGUGCUUCACCUGCUGUCUCCUGCACAAAAAGCAGAGCUGCUCAUGAGGCCUGAAGUGGAAAGCUUUGAAAACGGCACCCUAUCCCUGAUCUUCCACAGUUUGUUAACAGGAGGCUCUGAAUCCACACCCACUGCUCGCCCCGGAGGCGACCAGAGCUGGACAACACCUGCAGAAUCAUCUACAUUACCUUCCCAUCCAACACAGCCUGCACAUCAGUCUCACCACCUGUCUCCACGUGAAAAGCUCAGAAAGAUCCUAAAUGGCGUUAUGACAGCUGUCAAACCAAUUGGGAGCUUUGUACAUGAUUUUAUGUCCUUCACGCGUCAGAGAAAUGUGUCAGACCUAAGAAGCACCACAAUGACUCAGUUCCUGCUCAACUGGACUCUGGCUGAACUGGCUGACAUGUAUCAUCCAAAAGUCAAAGUUCCAAAAGAACCACAGUUUGAUGUGACAAAUGUGGGGAAUUGGUACCAGCAGGUUGUCAUACCAUUGCUUCAGAGGUUUAUCACAAAUAAUGAAAUCCUGGAGCACCAAAGCAUCAAACUUGCUUUUCACCAACUUUUCUAUUUGGACAAUCCUGCAGACAAUGAAUUCUCUAAAAACCCAGAAAUUGAGGAUGUCUGUAGCAUCACUCUUGAUAAGACCCAUUGUGGGCUGACUGAUGCAGUGGAAAAUGUGGCUCAUGUUUUGCACUGUGCUGCUCGCACAAACCUGACAUUGAAUGAGGAAACAAUAAUGAGACUGAUUCUGGAGCUGACUAAACGUCUGAACUCCCUGGUCAAGGAACUGUUCAACACUAACUUCAAGGAAGUGUCAUCUGAAAUAAAGGAGAUCUUUGGUCAGGGUGAAGCUCCAACUCUGACCCAGGAGCACCUGAAUGACCCCAACUUCAUUCAGCUCUGGUUUAAGAUCAAGCUGCUGCCCCUCCUGCCUGAUGUUAACCCAGAUCUCCUGUCCUGUCUGAGCACCAAGAACUUCUCCUGCCCUGUUUACCAAAGCCUAGUGUCAGCACUGGGUGAAUCCAUGAGUUUCAUGGAUACUGACCCGAUUUACAGUCAGAACAUCUAUAAAUACUUCAUCUAUUCUUUCCUGCAGCAACACAACUUGUCUGACUCUCAUUGUUCAGCCAAUAACAGUGCAGAAUGGUUGGAAAAGAAUGUUGGCUUCUUCUCAAAGUUUGCUUCCAUCAUUGAUUUCUAUGAGCUCAACCCUAAUUUCUCUGGAUUGGACGCUCUUCAUCUUCUGACUCCAAACCAGACAGCAGAGAUGCUGCUGCUGCCUCUGCGUACUCCACCAGAGAAAGAUGUUGUCAUAAAUUAUGUGUUUAACUAUCUGAUUGAGUCACCUGAAGACAGGAAACUUCUGGAAGUUAUGUAUUUUGUAAACCAACUUGCUCAGAAGGUAACAGAUUUGGUCAGGACAAUGGUUUGAAAAACGUCAUCAAUCUAGAUAAUCUAUAGUAAAAACUCUCGAAUUUUUCAGAUCAAUCCUCCCUGCAGCAUCUACACACUUCUGUAAGUACUCUCACUGACUUGCAGUAGAUGCUUUGCAAA
Oryzias sinensis (Chinese medaka) is the source of this 2240-nucleotide long non-coding RNA. Lineage: Eukaryota; Metazoa; Chordata; Actinopteri; Beloniformes; Adrianichthyidae. The record is from Ensembl.